UUCUGAGGCUCAAGAAACCACGAGCUGGACUGUGGGGAACUGACUUCUUUUCCUUUUAGAAGAAAUAAACACACAAACACAUUAUCUAACUCUCAGAGUGUUGCGAGAAAGAAAUCAUUGCUCUUUGCCGAGUAGGAAAAUGAAGAAUCAGCCUUGUGGGCAAGAGGAGGAGGAUCACAUUGGCCAGUAGGCAGUACCCUGUGCUGGCAGAGGGAGAAAUCUGAGCCUCAGCCGAGCCAGGAACAGUCUUUGUACAAACUAUUUGGUUUCAAGUUGCGAGUCUCCGGAGUCUCUGGGAAGGUGCCCCAUGGGCAGGGCUCCCUUUGCAGAGCCCUGAGGAUUGAUUGAGAAUCCCCCAUCCCCAGCCACCCAGAGGGCAAGCAGGUGAAGAAAUGGUGACUUGGCGAGGUUAUGAUUGGCCAAGACCCCCAGAUACCCAUUAUCACUCCCGAGGCUAUUGCUUCUUCAAGCCAGUUGGUACUCAGAAUGGCACUGUGCUAACCACGUUUCAAACUCAUUCCUUCAAGCAUCUCUGCGUCCUGUGCAGGUCAGUGGCAGCGUUAUGUCCACUUUCCAAUGAAGACACCACCCACAAAGUUGGUUAUACAGCCAGAAAGAGAGGAGCAAUUCAAUCUCCUACACGUUCUGUGAUACCAGCUCUCUGUAAUAUAUCAAAAUGAAUGUGGCGUUUGUGUAAUGCACACAUCCACUAACGGAGAAACUUAAUUUUGAAUCAUUUGAAAGGAGCUUUAGACACCAAUCCAGAACUCAGCUGUGAUCUCUGUUUUCUGCCCACGCUGGCUGAGCACGUUAGGCUGGACACUGGUCCUGAUCUGGUCUCCUUGUUUGCUGAAUGGAAGCUGCAAUAAGGCUUGAGUGAGAUUAUGAUUUCAGUCAUCCAGAAGGCUACCUGCCACUUCAAUCAAGGUGACAAACACACAUUCUUCACCCUUAGAUAGAGUUCCUUUGACAUUUGGGGGGGGGGACUUGACAUUCACGGUAAUUCUUGCCCAUUUUCUCCCCAAUUUCUCUAUUUUUAGCUCUUGAGUGUUAGCCUUGUAUGCUUGGCAUGAUUACCAGGCUGUUGUUGAUAGUGCAGGUGCAAGUGUGUGUGAUGAGGAGGGAGGUUUGGACUCUGACAUUGUCUGAGAGAAGUGUUCUCUGUUUCAGGCAGGAUAAAAAGAAAAGCCUGUAAAAAUCCCAUUAAGCAGACUGUCAGGCUCUUUAGACAUCAAAGAACUCUCACAACACAAUAUUUUAAUGAUUUAAGUGUAAAUGAAUCAGAAACACAUGGGUUGCAUUUCUUUUGGAAUACACAAGGGUUUUCAAACCAAAGGAGAAAGAACUUGGCAAGAUGUACACAGGGCGCAGUGGCCUUGCCCGGGAAAGGAGCCCCGCAAUUCUCCCUGCAGCCUAGCCUGCCCUCCCCGGAUUCCGCAUACAUGGGGGGCAAAUCCUGAAAUCCAGGCUUCCUCUUGAAUAUCUGAGAAACAGAGAACUGCAGAGUGCAAUUUGGAAUUAGAGUGUGGAGGGAGAUGUGGCGGAACAUGACUAUAAUCCCCAUCCUCAGGAGAGGGGCCAGAAGACAGUGAAUUCAACGCUAGUCUUGGCUGCACAGCGACAACUGCAUCAAAAACCAAAGCAAAACAAAAUAAAGGUUAGGUCAUUCAGCACAUUGACCAGCAGGAUGCCAAAUACCAUGACAUCUGACCGUCCAGGUCAUCCCAGUAAUGUGGGAAAUUGAAAGAAUCCCCACGCUUCAUCCCAGGAGACUCAAAUUCACUCAGUCACAAUGUAGUUGUUGAACCCGAAACCACGAACCCCUGCCUGGCAUGAUUGCACCAUUUUUGAUGCCUACAACAUAGAGCACCUUAGAAUUAAGGUCAUCUUAGAUUUUACGCAUUUAGGCAUUCAGAAAUGCCUAUAUGUUCUUGCAGGGAAUAGUCACAUGAUUUCUCCCAGAUGCAAGCAUCGAGGUUUAGAGAAAUUCUGAGUGCCUGUAAGUAGAUAAUGGCCAUGUGGAGUUCAGGCCUGCCUGACUUCAAUCCCAAGACUCAUUCUUUCAUUAGUAGACUUGAUACCUUUUGUUGAAUUUGAAUAUUCAUGACACAUGCUAUUAUGGAUAUAUAUAUAUAUCUCCAAAUCCAGGGAGGGAGGUGGUAGCCGUCUGAGUGUGAAUCCAGGUCACCUCGUCCACUGAGCUAGCUAUACAUAGGUUUCUUUUCCUCGGCUGCUUUUGUCUUUUUGUCACUGUGGCUCUGUAGUAUAACUUGAAGUCUGAAGUCUGGUGUGAUAUUUUUUCCUAUCUCAGCGUUGUUCCUUUUGCUCAGGAUGGCUUUGGCCUAUCUAGGCUCUCUCUCUCUCUCUCUCUCUCUCUCUCUCUCUCUCUUUC
Onychomys torridus (southern grasshopper mouse) is the source of this 2392-nucleotide long non-coding RNA. RefSeq lists it as uncharacterized. NCBI's taxonomy places the organism in Eukaryota, Metazoa, Chordata, Mammalia, Rodentia, Cricetidae. The transcript is spliced from 3 exons. The record is from RefSeq and is a predicted model, not a curated record.